RNAcentral lists this ribosomal RNA (981 nucleotides) under Lysobacter sp. YIM 75763. Its description in RNAcentral is "bacterial SSU rRNA". It matches the Rfam family "Bacterial small subunit ribosomal RNA", at positions 34 to 1012 of the family's 1533-position model. The record is from RNAcentral. Lineage: Bacteria; Pseudomonadati; Pseudomonadota; Gammaproteobacteria; Lysobacterales; Lysobacteraceae.
CGCUGCGCAGCUACACAUGCAGUCGAACGGCAGCACAGAGGAGCUUGCUCCUUGGGUGGCGAGUGGCGGACGGGUGAGGAAUGCAUCGGAAUCUGCCUAUUUGUGGGGGAUAACGUAGGGAAACUUACGCUAAUACCGCAUACGUCCUACGGGAGAAAGUGGGGGACCUUCGGGCCUCACGCAGAUAGAUGAGCCGAUGCCGGAUUAGCUAGUUGGCGGGGUAAAGGCCCACCAAGGCGACGAUCCGUAGCUGGUCUGAGAGGAUGAUCAGCCACACUGGAACUGAGACACGGUCCAGACUCCUACGGGAGGCAGCAGUGGGGAAUAUUGGACAAUGGGCGCAAGCCUGAUCCAGCCAUGCCGCGUGUGUGAAGAAGGCCUUCGGGUUGUAAAGCACUUUUGUCCGGAAAGAAAAGCGCUCGAUUAAUACUCGGGUGUUAUGACGGUACCGGAAGAAUAAGCACCGGCUAACUUCGUGCCAGCAGCCGCGGUAAUACGAAGGGUGCAAGCGUUACUCGGAAUUACUGGGCGUAAAGCGUGCGUAGGUGGUUUGUUAAGUCUGAUGUGAAAGCCCUGGGCUCAACCUGGGAACUGCAUUGGAAACUGGCUUACUAGAGUGCGGUAGAGGGGUGUGGAAUUCCCGGUGUAGCAGUGAAAUGCGUAGAUAUCGGGAGGAACAUCUGUGGCGAAGGCGACACCCUGGACCAGCACUGACACUGAGGCACGAAAGCGUGGGGAGCAAACAGGAUUAGAUACCCUGGUAGUCCACGCCCUAAACGAUGCGAACUGGAUGUUGGGGGCAACUUGGCUCUCAGUAUCGAAGCUAACGCGUUAAGUUCGCCGCCUGGGAAGUACGGUCGCAAGACUGAAACUCAAAGGAUUGACGGGGCCCGCACAAGCGGUGGAGUAUGUGGUUUAAUUCGAUGCACGCGAAGAACCUUACCUGGCCUUGACAUGCACGGAACUUUCCAGAGAUGGAUU